UGAUGCCUACGGGACGCAGCAGUGAGGAAUAUUGGUCAAUGGGCGGAAGCCUGAACCAGCCAAGUCGCGUGAGGGAAUAAGGCCCUACGGGUCGUAAACCUCUUUUGCCGGGGAGCAAGGGCGGGGACGUGUCCCGGCCCGGAGAGUACCCGGAGAAAAAGCAUCGGCUAACUCCGUGCCAGCAGCCGCGGUAAUACGGAGGAUGCGAGCGUUAUCCGGAUUUAUUGGGUUUAAAGGUUGCGUAGGCGGGCUUUGAAGUCAGCGUUAAAAAUU
This 273-nucleotide ribosomal RNA is filed under the name uncultured bacterium. Its description in RNAcentral is "partial 16S ribosomal RNA". It matches the Rfam family "Bacterial small subunit ribosomal RNA", at positions 333 to 602 of the family's 1533-position model. The record is from RNAcentral.